UACGGAGGGUGCGAGCGUUAUUCGGAAUUACUGGGCGUAAAGCGCACGUAGGUGGCCAGGCAAGUCGGGUGUGAAAGCCCUGGGCUCAACCUAGGAAGUGCACUCGAAACUGCAAGGCUGGAGUCCUGGAGAGGAAGGCGGAAUUCUCGGUGUAGAGGUGAAAUUCGUAGAUAUCGAGAGGAACACCAGUGGCGAAGGCGGCCUUCUGGACAGUGACUGACGCUGAGACGCGAAAGCGUGGGGAGCAAACAGG
Molecule: ribosomal RNA, 253 nt
Filed under: uncultured bacterium
Lineage: Bacteria
Description: partial 16S ribosomal RNA
Rfam family: Bacterial small subunit ribosomal RNA
Source: RNAcentral